Long non-coding RNA from Mesocricetus auratus (golden hamster), 1710 nucleotides. RefSeq lists it as uncharacterized. The transcript has 2 exons. Lineage: Eukaryota; Metazoa; Chordata; Mammalia; Rodentia; Cricetidae. The record is from RefSeq and is a predicted model, not a curated record.
GCGAUUCGUGGGGGCUGACUUGGAACGGGACCGAGGGGGCGGGACUUGCUGCGAGCGUGGCGUGAGUGGAAGGCUGAGCGAGUGGUGUACACACGGCUCACACGUGUCCGGCUGCAAAAUCGGGGGUGAUGAUGGGGAGGGAGGAAGCGGCCAGGAGAUCCCAAGGCGAAGCAAAUGAAGGGAAUGAGGCUUUCUCUGGCAGCUGUGAAAAGAUGACAGACACCCUGGUUAAAGGAGCGUGAAGGGAGUCAAAGCAAACGGAGGGUCUUCAGGGCUCCAAACUGGUGACUAGUUGUAUGAAGCAAGUUACACGGGGUUUCAGCGUUCCCAAAAAGGUACUUCGUCAUAGCUCCAUAAGCAUGGCCAACCUAAAGGAUGAGAACCUCUGGAAUGUGUGUCAUACCAUGUCACAUUUUAUUCCCAGCUGUGAACUGUUGGGGACUGCUAGAACCUUGAACAAAAUGGAGUCUGUCAACCGUUUCUUGGCCUUCUGACUACGUGACUACGAGCACACAUGCCCUUGAGACAAAGGAAAAGGCUAACCAUAAAAGUUAAAUUUACACAGGGCAGCCCACCCACUUCUUUCACGGAGAUUUUCUUAAAUGCCUAGAACCAAAAAGUCACUUGGUCUUUGCCAAUGGGCUCAGUACUUGCUGAGGCAUGCUUUCUACUUCCAGCCAGGUAGUUUUUAUAUUACUUCACUUCCUGCCUGUAUAGAGCCUCAAGUUUAAUUGAUGGUAAGAAAGUAAGAAUUCCUCCGGUCUUUCCUGCCUACACAUACAGCCUUGAGUAUGCACAUAGCUAAUGUAGGGGUAUGUUCUAGAUUCCCAGGAACAUCUCAAAACUCUCCAAAACCCCAUACAGAUACCACACUCCCUAACGUUUCCUUGUAAGCGUUUUAAUUAGCUUAUCCUUUGCCCCCAUUGUUAUCUACUGUCACAGAAUGCCAACACGUUAACCAGUUGCUUCUUGUAGUUUAGACAAAUGUCCCUGCCAUGUCCAGCAUGGUUCCAGGUCAGCAAGGGAAUAAAAAGAAGACACACCCGGGCGGUGGUAGCGCACGCCUUUAAUCCCAGCACUCGGGAGGCAGAGGCAGGCGGAUCUCUGUGAGUUCGAGGCCAGGCUGGACCGACAGCCUCCAAAACAAUACAGAGAAACCCUGUCUCGUAAAACCAAAAAAAAAAAAAAGAAGACACACACACACACACACACUUGGAAAAUCUGGAAUCCGGUGGGUUGGGUUCUCUGAUGAAAGAAGCUCAGCGUGUUAAAAUACAGUGGAACAGAGAGGCGUAUACAACAGAAUGAAGAGUCAGAAUAUCACAUACAGAUAAACAAGGAGUCAAGGUUUAUGGUAUACAGCUGGAUCUAGGAGGCAGGUUUAGCUAAUCUCCAUAGCAAUUUCUAUAGGGGAGCAGUCUUUAGGUGGUAAGUCUCUGGAGAGGGAGGAAUCUAUGGUGGACCUUUUCUGCACACAUUAUCAACAUCUACACAUGGACCAGGGGAAGUCUUUUCAGUCUUCUGAGCUGGGGUAAGGGAAGGUUUUACCACUUUACCACAGGUCUGAAGCUAUGGGAUCCUUGACAUGACUGUGCCCCGUGUCAGCAACACACAUUCACUCAGGACUUCCUCCAUUCCCCCACAGUCCAUAAAAAACAUCUGCUCCUUGCAGGCUGCAAGUCAGAUCAAAUAAAAAUAACCUCUUUUUCA